UACGGGGGGUGCAAGCGUUAUUCGGAAUUAUUGGGCGUAAAGGGCGCGUAGGCGGUCUCUUAAGUCAGAUGUGAAAGCCCGGGGCUUAACCCCGGAAGUGCAUUUGAAACUAAGGGACUUGAGUAUGGGAGAGGGAAGUGGAAUUCCUGGUGUAGAGGUGAAAUUCGUAGAUAUCAGGAGGAACACCGGUGGCGAAGGCGACUUCCUGGACCAAUACUGACGCUAAGGCGCGAAGGCGUGGGGAGCAAACAGGAUUAGAUACCCCCGUA
Molecule: ribosomal RNA, 269 nt
Filed under: uncultured prokaryote
Description: partial 16S ribosomal RNA
Rfam family: Bacterial small subunit ribosomal RNA
Source: RNAcentral